This 469-nucleotide long non-coding RNA is filed under the name Androctonus crassicauda. Lineage: Eukaryota; Metazoa; Arthropoda; Arachnida; Scorpiones; Buthidae. The record is from RNAcentral.
CAGUUUUUGGUAUUAAGGAAUAAUAGAGAAAUAAUAUAUACAUAAAAUUUUUAAUACUUGUUAUCACUCUCAAACAAUAUUGCAUAUUUUAAAUGGAAAUUGCUCUUUCAGACAACAGGCAAUGCAUACAGUCCAGUUGGAACUUCUGAGGCUGGUCCAUUUCUACCUCCUCCUCCAUAUCUUCUUCCAGACAGAAAUUUCUGACUUUAAUGCAUAGCAGCAAGGGCAGUUUGUCCAUUUUAUUUUUACCUUGCUCCAGGAUAGCACCAGUCUUCCCACACAAUAUGUGUAUUCUGCUCUUCCAGCAGCUGCAGCAGGUUCAAAUGCAACUGAAAUAUAUCAGUAUGGUGGCUCUAUUUCAAAUUGCUCUCCUCCAAUUUCUGCCCAAAUGGCAAAUUCAUAUACCACACAAACUAAUCCUAAUAUGGAAUAUGCAGAUUCUGCCAGUGUUGAAUUAUCAUCCAAUGAG